GACGUAGGAGGCGAGCGUUGUCCGGAUUCAUUGGGCGUAAAGAGCACGCAGGCGGUUUGGCAAGUCGGAUGUGAAAGCCCGGAGCUCAACUCCGGACCUGCAUCCGAAACUGCCCGACUAGAGGUAGGUAGGGGAGAUCGGAAUUCCUGGUGUAGCGGUGAAAUGCGCAGAUAUCAGGAGGAACACCGGUGGCGAAGGCGGAUCUCUGGGCCAUUACUGACGCUGAGGAGCGAAAGCGUGGGGAGCGAACAGG
Molecule: ribosomal RNA, 253 nt
Filed under: uncultured bacterium
Lineage: Bacteria
Description: partial 16S ribosomal RNA
Rfam family: Bacterial small subunit ribosomal RNA
Source: RNAcentral